AUGUUGAAUAUAAAAGGGAUG
RNAcentral lists this non-coding RNA (21 nucleotides) under Mus musculus (house mouse). The record is from RNAcentral. Lineage: Eukaryota; Metazoa; Chordata; Mammalia; Rodentia; Muridae.